RNAcentral lists this ribosomal RNA (902 nucleotides) under uncultured bacterium. RNAcentral describes it as "bacterial SSU rRNA". It matches the Rfam family "Bacterial small subunit ribosomal RNA", at positions 505 to 1398 of the family's 1533-position model. The record is from RNAcentral.
GUGCCAGCCGCCGCGGUAAUACGGAGAGUGCAAGCGUUGUUCGGAAUUACUGGGCUUAAAGCGCGUGUAGGCGGGAUGUCAGGUAUUCUGUGAAAUCCCCGGGCUCAACCCGGGAACUGCAGGGUAAACCGGCAUUCUUGAGGCAGGUAGAGGUCACUGGAACAAGUGGUGGAGCGGUGAAAUGCGUAGAUAUCACUUGGAACGCCGGAGGCGAAAGCGGGUGACUGGACCUGUCCUGACGCUGAGACGCGAAAGCGUGGGUAGCGAACAGGAUUAGAUACCCUGGUAGUCCACGCCGUAAACGAUGCGCACUAGGUAUGAGAGGCUCUGACGCCGAUCGUGCCGUAGGGAAACUGAUAAGUGCGCCGCCUGGGGAGUACGGCCGCAAGGCUAAAACUCAAAGGAAUUGACGGGGGCUCACACAAGCGGUGGAGCAUGUGGAUUAAUUCGAAGCAACGCGAAGAACCCUACCUGGGUUUGACAUGUUUGGAUGCCCUUCCAGAAACGGAAGUAAGCUGCCUUCGGGUGAAACUUACACAGGUGCUGCAUGGCUGUCGUCAGCUCGUGCUGUGAAGUGUCGGGUUAAGUCCCUUAACGAGCGAAACCCCUAUCGUUAGUUGCCAGCGGGUCAUGCCGGGGACUCUAGCGAGACUGCCGGUGUUAAACCGGAGGAAGGUGGGGACGACGUCAAGUCAUCAUGGCCCUUAUGCCCAGGGUGUCGCACGUGCUACAAUGGCCGGUACAGAGCGAAGCGAGAUCGCGAGAUGGAGCAAAUCGCACAAAGCCGGCCUCAGUUCGGAUUGGAGUCUGCAACCCGACUCCAUGAAGUUGGAAUCGCUAGUAAUCGCGUAUCAGCCACGACGCGGUGAAUAUGUUCCUGAGCCUUGCACACACCGCCCGUC